This is a long non-coding RNA of Dreissena polymorpha, 1248 nucleotides long. RefSeq lists it as uncharacterized. The record is from RefSeq and is a predicted model, not a curated record. NCBI's taxonomy places the organism in Eukaryota, Metazoa, Mollusca, Bivalvia, Myida, Dreissenidae. The transcript is spliced from 3 exons.
CUGAAAAGCUGACAUACUAUAAAUGUUAACAAGAAAACGUCAACAUUGGAAGUAAGACCAAAAUGACAAACAUCCGAGUCUGGUUACAUGGAAUGGCGGUCCAGUUCCACUGGCCUGUGAUACACAUGCAUUCUUCUGAUUCCCCUGUGUCCCAUACCGCUCGCGAAGGCUCCAUAGGAUUCCAGUUGGCAAAUGUCCAAGGCUCCCCGCACGAGAAGAUGUGCUCCCAUUGUCUCGCACUCCAACUUGGACGGUAACCACUGACGACGGAAGUUGGAUCUGUAGUAGCAUGAGUGCCUGUACUUUACCAUCGGUGGGUCACACUGCAGCUGAAAACACAGCCACAAACUUUUUUUAAACUUAUAAAACAUCAUGCGGAAAGAAGAUCUAGUUAAAACAACUAAUUAUUUUAUUUAAGCAAGUGAUGAAUUGAUUGAACCAAAUAUCAAACGCUUCUUUGACAAUAUAAAGAAGUUUAGGUAUUUAAAGUUUGGGUCAGAAUUUUGGAAAUAAUUUUUUAUUUACCGAUAAUUUUUAUCGAACAUGUUACUCGCUUGGUUUUUAAUACGCAAUAGCCUAUUGUUUUUCAAUCAGAUUUAAAAGAUAUCCCAUUAAACACAGAAGAUUAAAACAAUUUUAGUUAAUGCUUAAUUGGUGCAGUUUCUAAGCAUUUUGCGAAAUCAUUCAUUACAGAGCAUAUAUUAAACCCUUUACACGAGCAGUUAUUAAAUAAUUAAAAACGACAAGAUAAGUAAAAAAAUAAGUAAAAUAAGUAAAAUACAAUAAUAUCAUUACUUUUUUAUUUAGUUCGUGUACGGCUGGCUUACACUGUAAGUUAAAGUCAAGUACGCAAUAAAAAAACGGUAUUCAUACUUCAGUCAGAAAAGUUUUGCUGUAUACAGGUAUAAGUUAAUGAAACAUUUAGCUAGCAUCUUCCAAUACAUUUACGUUUUCUAUAGUAAAUGCCCAGGGCAUAUUAGAUAGGAAUCGGGUAUUUACAAAACCGUUCUUUAAUAAUUUAAUCAUUUUCAGAAAAAAAUACGUUUAACUUCAUGUUUCACCUGUAGUACAAUGCCAAAACUUUGGCAAACGCCUUUAGUUGUGUAUACUCUUUUUUAUGAUGCUGUAAACAGAUGUUGAUUUUUCAUUCAUGAAUUUCAAAACAACUUUUGACAGUUAAUUAUGUUAAGUCCACGUAUUUGUGAAGGCUUAUUAUAGUUACAUUUCAGUGGCCUUAAAAUGUCUGAA